This 336-nucleotide unclassified non-coding RNA is filed under the name soil metagenome. Its description in RNAcentral is "partial contains 5.8S ribosomal RNA, internal transcribed spacer 2, and large subunit ribosomal RNA". The stretch from base 1 to 120 matches the Rfam family "5.8S ribosomal RNA", at positions 35 to 154 of the family's 154-position model. The record is from RNAcentral.
GAUGAAGAACGUAGCGAAAUGCGAUAAGUAGUGUGAAUUGCAGAAUUCAGUGAAUCAUCGAAUCUUUGAACGCACAUUGCGCCCCUUGGUAUUCCAUGGGGCAUGCCUGUUCGAGCGUCAUUUGUACCUUCAAGCUUUGCUUGGUGUUGGGUGUUAGUCUCGCCUUUGCGUGUAGACUCGCCUUAAAAUAAUUGGCAGCCGGCGUAUUGAUUUCGGAGCGCAGUACAUCUCGCGCUUUGCACUCAUAACGACAGCGUCCAAAAGUACAUUUUACACUCUUGACCUCGGAUCAGGUAGGGAUACCCGCUGAACUUAAGCAUAUCAAUAAGCGGAGGA